UGGGGAAUUUUGGACAAUGGGCGAAAGCCUGAUCCAGCAAUGCCGCGUGUGUGAAGAAGGCCUUCGGGUUGUAAAGCACUUUUGUCCGGAAAGAAAUCCUUGGCUCUAAUACAGUCGGGGGAUGACGGUACCGGAAGAAUAAGCACCGGCUAACUACGUGCCAGCAGCCGCGGUAAUACGUAGGGUGCAAGCGUUAAUCGGAAUUACUGGGCGUAAAGCGUGCGCAGGCGGUUUGCUAAGACCGAUGUGAAAUCCCCGGGCUCAACCUGGGAACUGCAUUGGUGACUGGCAGGCUAGAGUAUGGCAGAGGGGGGUAGAAUUCCACGUGUAGCAGUGAAAUGCGUAGAGAUGUGGAGGAAUACCGAUGGCGAAGGCAGCCCCCUGGGCCAAUACUGACGCUCAUGCACGAAAGCGUGGGGAGCAAACAGGAUUAGAUACCCUGGUAGUCCACGCCCUAAACGAUGUCAACUAGUUGUUGGGGAUUCAUUUCCUUAGUAACGUAGCUAACGCGUGAAGUUGACCGCCUGGGGGAGUACGGUCGCAAGAUUAAAACUUAAAUGAAUUG
Molecule: ribosomal RNA, 565 nt
Filed under: uncultured bacterium
Lineage: Bacteria
Description: partial 16S ribosomal RNA
Rfam family: Bacterial small subunit ribosomal RNA
Source: RNAcentral